RNAcentral lists this ribosomal RNA (253 nucleotides) under uncultured bacterium. RNAcentral describes it as "partial 16S ribosomal RNA". It matches the Rfam family "Bacterial small subunit ribosomal RNA", at positions 524 to 776 of the family's 1533-position model. The record is from RNAcentral.
UACGUAGGGUGCAGGCGUUAAUCGGAAUUACUGGGCGUAAAGCGUGCGCAGGCGGCUUCCUAAGUCAGAUGUGAAAUCCCCGGGCUCAACCUGGGAACUGCGUUUGAAACUGGGAGGCUAGAGUGCGGCAGAGGGGGGUGGAAUUCCACGUGCAGCAGUGAAAUGCGUAGAUAUGUGGAGGAACACCGAUGGCGAAGGCAGCCCCCUGGGCCAGCACUGACGCUCAUGCACGAAAGCGUGGGGAGCAAACAGG